RNAcentral lists this long non-coding RNA (855 nucleotides) under Prunus persica (peach). Its description in RNAcentral is "long non-coding RNA (PPER_LNC001312)". The record is from RNAcentral. Lineage: Eukaryota; Viridiplantae; Streptophyta; Magnoliopsida; Rosales; Rosaceae.
UUAGCUCUAUUUGUUAUAAGUACUUUAUUGAUCUCCUAGCUAAAAAGCUAAUAAAGCUAGGUGCAAUUUCAAAUUAGUACGGUAGUUUGAUAAGUGGCUGUAAUCUUUCUUUGAGGAAUAAAAGCCAUCGUUCUUUCUUUCUUUCAUGCCCUAAUUUCAAGCAAUGGUUGGCUCACUGUGUAUCUUAAAAGCUGACAAGAUUUAUAAGAAUUAAGUGGUGUACAUUUGAGAAUCAGCUUCCGGAAAUAACAGAGAAUUAAAAAUCAUCAUAAAGGGGAAAAACAGAGCAUCCUGUCAAAUGCAAUGCGUAAUAACAGAGCAAGUGUGCCUGAAAUUCAACUCUUAUUUUAAGUUCAACAUCUUCUAGGCCAAAGGAAAUGGAGGACUGCCCCAAACAUCUGUUUUUUAUAGCCAAACAAACUUGAGAUGAAUGAGCUCUGGAAAGAAAUGGUUCCUUUGGCUCAAGCAUUCAUGAGAACCUUUUAGCUGCUGCAGCCAUCUGCAUCAAGUAGGAAUGCAAACUUAGGCAAAAUAAUUAGCGAACAAUUUGCUCUCGGUUUGCAAAAACAUAUGCAAGAAAAUAGUCUUAAGCUUCUAGCUGCGUAAGAGAAUUGACUGUGCAUUUUCAUGUAUGAAGAUAAACUUAAUAAAAAAGAAAUGACAGAGGAUUUAGCUAGCUUGGAUAUAAUUGCUGUUGAAGUACUCAAAAAGUAUGAUGACUUACAUUUUGAAGUGAGCUCGAUCCGAAUUCUGAUCUGUAAUUCAGCUCCAAUGGUAUUUAUGUGACAUGACCCUCCUCUUUCAUCCGGGCUUGGGACCGGCUGUGUAAAAGAUCGGACUUGAGGCACAAUACAG